This is a long non-coding RNA of Trichosurus vulpecula (common brushtail), 796 nucleotides long. RefSeq lists it as uncharacterized. The transcript has 2 exons. NCBI's taxonomy places the organism in Eukaryota, Metazoa, Chordata, Mammalia, Diprotodontia, Phalangeridae. The record is from RefSeq and is a predicted model, not a curated record.
CCAAGAGAUCAAGGGAGGCUGGGAUUGUCCUGAUGGCUGUAGGAAGGAGGAGGCUGCCAUCUGUGUCUAUGAAGACGAGUAGGAGAUGGAGAUGCCAGCCUCACUGCUUUUAUCCUUGUCACCUCUCAGCCCUAGUCUCUCUUUCUCCAUCUCCUCAUCACAAACCCAGGCUCCUCAGCAGCCCGAGAUUUAGAGUUGGUCCAGGACUAACCACUGCCCAGCGCCCCUCUCCUCUUCAGCCCUAAGCCCCCUCCUCGAUGUCCCCUUUCCCUCCUCCGCGGCGGAGGGGUCACCUCGAAGGCUAGCCAAGAAUAGGGGGACAGCACAUCGUAGAAGAGCUCCAGCUUCCUCGGCAGGCUCAGCAUGGUGGUGGAUCCGGGCAAACGAUGAGGUCUCCCAGAGACCGCCGGCCACGCUCUUUUUCUUUUUUGGGGGGAGGGGGGAGGCGGGCCGCGGUGCCCUUUACCCCUUCUUCCACCCAAUAGGCUCCCGGUGGGAUCCGCCCCUGGAGCUGGGCGACCUGGUUGGGAGAAGCAGCGCACGAGCCCAGCGACUGAAGCCCGGGAGGAGGAGCCGGGCCAGCCCUUCCCUGGGCUCCUGCUGCCUCCGUGCGGCCGUCCCCGGGGCCCGCUGCUGGGAGUUUACCAGCCGGCCAGGAGUGCGGUACCUGAGACCGAGUCUCUUCGUAACAGCGAUGCCAUCUUUGCGUGACGUCAUUUAUCCGGUGGAUCGCGUGGUGUCCCUAUUACAGCGAUUAUCCCUGCUUAUCCCUGGAGCCGAAUAAAUGUCACCACGA